Molecule: ribosomal RNA, 497 nt
Filed under: uncultured bacterium
Lineage: Bacteria
Description: partial 16S ribosomal RNA
Rfam family: Bacterial small subunit ribosomal RNA
Source: RNAcentral
GAUGAACGCUGGCGGCGUGCCUAAUACAUGCAAGUCGAGCGAACAGACGAGGAGCUUGCUCCUCUGACGUUAGCGGCGGACGGGUGAGUAACACGUGGAUAACCUACCUAUAAGACUGGGAUAACUUCGGGAAACCGGAGCUAAUACCGGAUAAUAUAUUGAACCUCAUGGUUCAAUAGUUAAAGACGGUUUUGCUGUCACUUAUAGAUUGAUCCGCGCCGCAUUAGCUAGUUGGUAAGGUAACGGCUUACCAAGGCAACGAUGCGUAGCCGACCUGAGAGGGUGAUCGGCCACACUGGAACUGAGACACGGUCCAGACUCCUACGGGAGGCAGCAGUAGGGAAUCUUACGCAAUGGGCGAAAGCUUGACGGAGCAACGCCGCGUGAGUGAUGAAGGUCUUCGGAUCGUAAAACUCUGUUAUUAGGGAAGAACAAAUGUGUAAGUAACUAUGCACGUCUUGACGGUACCUAAUCAGAAAGCCACGGCUAACUACGUG